GACGAACGCUGGCGGCGUGCCUAAUACAUGCAAGUCGAGCGAAGCGGCGGAUGGGUGAGUAACGCGUGGGUAACCUGCCCUUAAGUCUGGGAUACCAUUUGGAAACAGAUACUAAUACAGGAUAAUAAAGGAUGGACCUGCGAUGCAUUAGCUAGUUGGUAGGGUAACGGCUUACCAAGGCGAUGAUGCCUAGCCGGUUUGAGAGGCUGAUCGGCCAAACUGGGACUGAGACACGGCCCAGACUCCUACGGGAGGCAGCAGUAGGGAAUCUUCCACAAUGGGCGAAAGUCUGAUGGAGCCACGCCGCGUGAGGGAAGAAGGUUUUCGGGUCGUAAAGUUCUGUUGUUGGUGAAGCGGUAAUCAACCAGAAAGUAACGGCUAACUACGUGCCAGCAGCCGCGGUAAUAC
This 408-nucleotide ribosomal RNA is filed under the name uncultured bacterium. RNAcentral's name for it is "partial 16S ribosomal RNA". It matches the Rfam family "Bacterial small subunit ribosomal RNA", at positions 28 to 526 of the family's 1533-position model. The record is from RNAcentral.